AUUUCCCCAAUGGGUUCUCCGGAUUUCUGGAGACUUGUAGGGGUUGUGGGAUUUUUGAUGUGUCGUCUCCGGACGGGCGGUGCAGGGUAGUCGAGUUAGACGGUGGAAUUCCGUCGAUAGGAGUUCCGUCGAGUCUGGUCGGCUGUGUGUUGGACGGUGCAGGGUAGGCUGCUUGGACAUGGUCGGUUCGAGGAUCGAUUCGAGGGCCGGCCUGUCGAUGAUGUGUGAUGUAUGCGGUCUAGGGUAGGCUGGUUUGUCUUGGUUCAAUUUGAUGUCGGCUCCCGUGCAGGCCAGAGUGAGGGGGGUCCAGGGUAGGUACAGGGUAGGCAGCUUAGAUUUGGUCGAUCUGGAGGUCGAUUCUCCGGCUGGCGGAUCUGACACUGUCGAAACGAGAUGCGAGCGGUGUAGGGUAGGCUAGUUUCGCCCUCGCCAGGUUGCGAUUUGGACGAGAUAUGUGGUUUAGUGUAUGCUCUAGGGUAAGUAGAAUUCGAGUUUCGUCGCCGACAGUUUUCUGUGGGUGUAUGGUAGGUACAGGGUAGGCAAAUCUCUCUCCGGCCAGUACUUGUCUGGUGGUCGUGAGUCGAUUUUUUUGUUUU
RNAcentral lists this unclassified non-coding RNA (596 nucleotides) under Fusarium oxysporum. RNAcentral describes it as "partial miscellaneous RNA". The record is from RNAcentral. Lineage: Eukaryota; Fungi; Ascomycota; Sordariomycetes; Hypocreales; Nectriaceae.